This 408-nucleotide ribosomal RNA is filed under the name uncultured bacterium. RNAcentral's name for it is "partial 16S ribosomal RNA". It matches the Rfam family "Bacterial small subunit ribosomal RNA", at positions 28 to 526 of the family's 1533-position model. The record is from RNAcentral.
GACGAACGCUGGCGGCGUGCUUAACACAUGCAAGUCGAACGAAGUGGCGAACGUGUGAGUAACGCGUAAUCAACCUGCCCUUCAGAGGGGGACAACAGUUGGAAACGACUGCUAAUACCGCAUACUGCAGGAGGGGUUUGCGUCUGAUUAGCUAGUGGGGGGGGUAACGGCCCACCACGGCGAUGAUCAGGAGGCGGGUUGGGAGGAUGAACGGCCAAAUUGGGACGGGGAACAGGCCCAGACUCCUACGGGAGGCAGCAAGGGGGAAUCUGCCGCAAUGGACGAAAGGUUGACGGAGCAACGCCGCGGGAGUGAUGACGGCCUUCGGGUUGGAAAGCUAGGUUAAUCGGGACGCGGUACCGGAAUAGAAAGCAACGGCUAACUACGUGCCAGCAGCCGCGGUAAUUC